Molecule: small nuclear RNA, 107 nt
Organism: Piliocolobus tephrosceles (Ugandan red Colobus)
Lineage: Eukaryota; Metazoa; Chordata; Mammalia; Primates; Cercopithecidae
Source: Ensembl
GUGUUCGCUUCAGCAGCACACAUACUAAAACUGAAAUGAUAUAGAGAAGAUUAGCAUGGCCCCUGUGCAAGGAUGACACACAAAUUUGUGAAGAAUUCCAUAUUUUU